This is a long non-coding RNA of Amphiprion ocellaris (clown anemonefish), 4346 nucleotides long. Lineage: Eukaryota; Metazoa; Chordata; Actinopteri; Pomacentridae. The record is from Ensembl.
AGGUUCUGAUCCACAUCCCCACUGCUUCAUACUCGGCUGCAAACCGCUCCAGUGCUGCUGAAGGUCUGAGGAACCAACAGAACCACAUCAUCUGCAAAAAGCAGAGAUCCUGAGGUCCCCAAACCGGACACCCUCCUCACCCCAGCUGUAGCUUGAGAUCCAUGAAGACCACAAACAGGAUCAGAGACAAGGGGCAGCCCUGGAGGAGUCCAACACCCACUGGAAACGAGUCUGACUUUGUGCUUAGUAUGUGGACGCAGCUCUCACAUUGGUUCUACAGGGACCCAAUGGCUCAUAUCAGACAGCCUGGUACCCCAUACUCCCUCAGUACCCCAUACUCCCUCAGUACCCCAUACUCUCUCAGUACCCCAUACUCCCUCAGUACCCCCCACAGAGACCCUCGGGGGACACGGUUGUAGGCCUUCUCCAGAUCCACAAAACACAUGUAGACUGGCUGGUGGAACUCCCAUGACCCCCUCAGCAGCUGAUCCACUGUUCCACAACCAGGACGGAAUCCACAUUGUUCCUCCUGAAUCUGAGGUUCUACAGUCAGUCAGAGCCUCCCUUCCAGCACCCUAGGGUAAACUUUCCCGGGGAGGCUGAGAAGUGUGAUACCCAGUAGUUGGAACACACUCUCUGGUCCCCCUUUUUAAAAAUGGGAACCACCACCCCGGUCUGCCACUCCACAGCGCCGUACCUGAUGCCCACGAGACAUUAAAGAGACAUAUCAGCCAAGACAGUCCAACAAUGUCCAGAGCCUUCAGCAUCUCAGGGAGGAUCUCGUCCACACCUGGCGCCACCGAGGAGCUUCUUCACUACCUCGGCGACCUCUGCCACGGAUUUGGACGAAGAUUCCCCCGAGUCUUCAGGUUCUGCCUCCUCCACAGAAGACGUGUAUACCGGGUUCAGGAGUUCCUCAAAGUGCUCUUUCCACUUUGAGGAACUCCUGAAACCGGUAUACACGUCUUCAGGUUCUGCCUCCUCCACAGAAGACGUGUAUACCAGGUUCAGGAGUUCCUCAAAGUGCUCUUUCCACCGCCCGACAAUGUCCCCAGUACAGGUCAACAGUUCUCCACCCUGACUGUACACAGCCUGAGCAAAGCCCUGCCUCCCCUUCCUGAGGUGCUGGAUGAUUUGCCAGAACCUCCUCGAGGCCAACCGAAAGUCCUUCUCCAUAGCCUCUCCGAACUCCUCCCACACCUGAGUUUUAGUUUCCAUAGCUGCAGCCCUUUUGGCCAACCGGAACCCGUCAGCUGCUUCAGGAGACCCCCGAGCCAGCCAGGCCCAAAAAGCCUCCUUCUUCAGCCUGACGGCUUCCCUCACCACUGGUGUCCACCAGCGGGUUCUUGGGUUGCCACCAUGACAGGCACCAGUGACCUUCAGGCCACAGCUCCUAACAGCUGCUUCUGCAAUGGAGGCUUUGAACAUGGACCACUCAGAUUCCAUGUCCCCAACCUCCCCGGGAUGCAGGAGAAACUCUUCUGGAGGUGGGAGCUGAAAACCCCACGGACAGGGUCCUCUGUCAGGCAUUCCCAGUUCACCCUCACUACAUGUUUGGGUUUACCAGGUCUGUCCGGCAGCCUUCCCCACCAUCAGAUCCAACUCACCACCAGGUGACGAUCAGCUGACAGCUUUGCUCCUCUCUUCACCUGAGUAUCCGAGAUAUACGGCUGCAGGUCUGAUGAUACAACUAUGACGUCCAUCAUGGACCUUUGGCCUAAGGUGCUCUGGUACCAGGUACACUUAUGAGCAACCUUAUGCUCCAACAUGGUGUUUGUUAUGACCAGUCUAUGACUAGAACAGAAGUCCAAUAACAGAACACCACUCGGGUUCAGAUAGGGCCAUUCCUCCCAAUCAUGUCUUCCAGGUUUCUCCAUAGUUGCCCACAUGAACAUUGAAGUCCCCGAGGAGAGCUACGGAAUCCCCAGGCGGUCCCCCUUCCAGGAACCACCCAGAGACUCCAAGAAGACUGAAUACUCUGAGCUGCUGUUCGGUUCAUGAGAACAGACAACAGAGUUUCCUCUCAGAGAGGCGACCCUCUGGUUCUCCAGGGAGAACUCCGACAAAGCGGCACUCACGCUAACCCUAACUCAAAAAACAGCAUAUAUUUGGAAAGUUCUAUUUUGCUUAAUCUUACAGUCAGAUGUUAGAAAUUAAGAAACAUUCCAUUGAUUAAAAACACAGAUUUUUAAUGCUCAGUUAUAAAAGAGAACAUCCUGAUCACAGUUCUAUUAACAGACCAUAAAACACGAAAACAUGAGACCCAUCUGGAUCAUAUCAUCAGAAUGAAUCACUGCAGUGAAUCUGUUCUGAAACUCAUCAGAUCCUGAAGGGUUGGACUGAAGCUCAGUUUUACCUCAAUGAUUGUCAGAAUUUCACAGCUGCAGGAAUCAGACUGAUUCAGUCAUUCUGAUCUGAUUAAACUCUUCUGUCUGAAGUUUUAUUUCUGGAGAUUCUGAACAAAGAAUUUGGAGAAUUUUUUGUCAUUUUUGUUGAUUAUUCAGCAGCUCUGUUCAGUCUGAACCUUCCUCCAGCAGAUCUGUUCCAUAUUAGAAGCUGUGAUGAAGCUGUGGAGCUUCACCAUUCUGACUUAUUCCUGCAGUUUGUAGUGAAACUUUAACUUCUUAGUGCCAUAAAACAUCCUGAACACGACACAGAGUGGUCAGUGUUCCUCCUGAUUUAGAGACCAGCGGGUUGAAGGACUGGAGAAGCUUCAGUCUGCUGUUGAUGACUUUUAGUUGGAACCAGGAGAAGCUGCUGAGUUCUGCUGCACUGAUCUUCAUGUUGAACUGAUAUUUUAUCAUUGAUGAGCCAGAAGAAAGACACCAGUGAAUGUGUGGUUUUUAAUAUUUAUUCUAUAUUUAUGGAGAAUGUUCCGUUGAAACGUGUUUCAUUUUCAUGUCUUGCUUUUGAAGCUUUCUUCUCACUGAAUGUUCAUAGAUGAACAGUUUUUAUUCAUUGCUGCUCUGUUUGUUUUCCAUCAACCAGUUCAUGAGGUUCAACUGAACUAGUGUUGGUGGAUUAUUCCACAUGAAGUCCAAUAAAUCUGAACCAACCAGAACCUCCUCAGAACCUACUGGUUAUUUAUCAGUGGUCAGAGUUCUACCUUCAUACUGGGAAUAUUUCCAGAGUCCAGGUCCUUCAAGUCCAUAGAGGAGAACGUCCCCUGUAGAAAGUUCUAGAGAAGACUUACCGACAACUGGACAGUUGUCGGCAGGUCUACUCUAGAACUUUGUCCAGUUGUUGGUAGGUCUAUUCUAGAACUUUCUCCAGGUGUCGGUAGGUCUACUCUAGAACUUUCUCCAGGGGACGUUCUCCUUUCCUGCUUCCAGUCUUUAAGUUUAGUCUCACAUUCAGAAUUGGAGACUUCCAGGUCCUUGAAGUUCAUAGAGGUGGGUCCACAUCUGAGUUCUGGUAAAAAAUGACUCCAGAUCAGUUUUACAUCCAUCCAGGUGUCUCAGUCUGAAUGCUGAAUCUGGUUUCUGAUCAGAACCUUUUUAUUCUAUCAUUUUAUUCAACCGUUUAAUCAGAAAUUGGAUCAUUUUCAAGCAAUUUAGGUCAAUUUUCAAUUAAUUUUCAACUAAUUUCCUGUAUUUUGGUUAUUUUUGAGUCAUUUUCGGUGAAUUCUGACUCAUUUUGGACAAUUGGCUGGUCAUUUUCAACAAGUUUUAUGUCAGAUUGGAUCUUUUCUCGUUAUUUUGGAUCAUUUUUGUGUCUGGGAUCAUUUUAGAGUCAUUUAGAACAAAUUUCAUGUCAUUCUAAACUCCUUUUCUGUGAUUAUGGACGAUUCUUUGGGUCAUUUUGAACAUUUUCUGAACCUUUUUAAAUAAUUUUCUUACUUAAUUUCCAUAACUUUAUUAAUGAUCAGAGUUCUAACUUCGUCCUGUGAAUAUUUCCAGAGUUCUAGGUCCUUGAAGUCCAUAGAGGUGGGUCCAGUUUUACCACUUUUUAAUGGCAGUCUUUACCAGAACUCAGAUGUGUUUUCCUCCUAAAUGUCAUGGUCUUAUCUGCUGGACUGAUCAGAAAUGAUGGAAAAAGUCUCUGAUAAUCUGCUGGAACGUGAGCAGCUCAUGGAGGAGGUUCUCUCAGGUUCGGUUGGUUUCACUGGGCUGAUUGUGGUGAAAGUUCAAUCUGUUGCUUUUAGGCUUUGUUGAACUGAGAUCAGUCCUUUAUGCAGUUUUAUCCUCCAUGCACAGGCUCGGAUGUUUUUUUUGCUGCUUUUUAAACCCUGUUGGAGUUUCAGUGAAUCAGAACUGUUUGAAUGUCGACACUGUUGUUUCUUUGUCUGAUCAGCAGCUUCUUGAACAGCUUUAAGUGGUGAGAAACUCACCGACUGAUUAAAAGAG